Molecule: unclassified non-coding RNA, 300 nt
Filed under: uncultured Zymoseptoria
Lineage: Eukaryota; Fungi; Ascomycota; Dothideomycetes; Mycosphaerellales; Mycosphaerellaceae
Description: sequence contains 5.8S rRNA gene, ITS2
Rfam family: 5.8S ribosomal RNA (bases 1-84)
Source: RNAcentral
GUAUAAGAGACAGGUGAGUCAUCGAAUCUUUGAACGCACAUUGCGCCCCCUGGUAUUCCGGGGGGCAUGCCCGUUCGAGCGUCAUUACACCACUCCAGCCUCGCUGGGUAUUGGGUGUCUCGCGGAGGAGCAAUCUCCCGCGCGCCUCAAAGUCUCCGGCUGAGCGGUUCCGUCUUCGCAGCGUUGUGGCAUCACGUCUCGCUAUGAAUUCGGUCCCUCACGGCCGUUAAAUCACUUAACAGGUUGACCUCGGAUCGGGUAGGGAUACCCGCUGAACUUAAGCAUAUCAAUAAGCGGAGG